AAUCAACGCUGGCGGCGUGCCUCAGACAUGCAAGUCGAACGCGAAAGUCCCCUUCGGGGGACGAAGUAGAGUGGCGCACGGGUGAGUAACACGUAGGUAAUCUACCUUCGGAUGGGGAAGUAACAACCGGAAACGGUUGCUAAUACCGCAUAAUGCAGCGGCACCUAAUGGUGACAGUUGUUAAAGCGGGGGAUCGAAAGACCUCGCGUCUGAAGAGGAGCCUGCGGCGGAUUAGCUAGNGGUUAAGGUAAUGGCUUACCAAGGCGACGAUCCGUA
RNAcentral lists this ribosomal RNA (276 nucleotides) under uncultured bacterium. RNAcentral's name for it is "partial 16S ribosomal RNA". It matches the Rfam family "Bacterial small subunit ribosomal RNA", at positions 32 to 285 of the family's 1533-position model. The record is from RNAcentral.